Molecule: ribosomal RNA, 248 nt
Filed under: uncultured euryarchaeote
Lineage: Archaea; Methanobacteriati; Methanobacteriota
Description: partial 16S ribosomal RNA
Rfam family: Archaeal small subunit ribosomal RNA
Source: RNAcentral
GGCGGCUCGAGUGGUGGCCACUAUUACUGGGCUUAAAGCGUCCGUAGCUGGAUUGUUAAGUCUCUUGGGAAAUCUACCGGCUUAACCGAUAGGCGUUCAAGGGAUACUGGCAAUCUAGGGACCGGAAGAGGUGAGAGGUACUCCAGGGGUAGGAGUGAAAUCCUGUAAUCCUUGGGGGACCACCUGUGGCGAAGGCGUCUCACCAGAACGGCUCCGACAGUGAGGGACGAAAGCUGGGGGAGCAAACC